UGGAUAAGUAUUGCAAGUCGAACGGAAGUAGUUUGUAGCAAUAUGAGCUGCUUUAGUGGCAAACGGGUGCGUAACACGUAGAUUACAUUCCGGAGAGUGUGGAAUAGCCCAGGGAAACUUGGUGUAAUACCACAUGUUGUCGAAAGACAAAAAGAAGCUUGCUUCUGCUCUCUGAUUGGUCUGCGGCCUAUCAGCUAGUUGGUGAGGUAAUGGCUCACCAAGGCAACGACGGGUAGCUGGUCUGAGAGGAUGGCCAGCCACACUGGAACUGAGACACGGUCCAGACACCUACGGGUGGCAGCAGUCGAGAAUCUUUCACAAUGGGGGGAACCCUGAUGGAGCGACGCCGCGUGGAGGAUACAGUCUUCGGAUUUUAAACUCCUGACAUGCGAGAACAAAGCCUUCGGGUCUGAUAGUAUCGCAAGAGGAAGAGGCGGCUAACUCUGUGCCAGCAGCCGCGGUAAUACAGAGGCCUCAAGCGUUGUUCGGAAUCACUGGGCGUAAAGGGUGCGUAGGCGUCCGGCUAAGUCAGUUGUAAAGUCCUGCGCUCACGCAGUGUGUGCAAUUGAUACUGGUUGGAUU
RNAcentral lists this ribosomal RNA (582 nucleotides) under uncultured bacterium. RNAcentral describes it as "bacterial SSU rRNA". It matches the Rfam family "Bacterial small subunit ribosomal RNA", at positions 45 to 643 of the family's 1533-position model. The record is from RNAcentral.